UGCCUACGGGGCGCAGCAGUGAGGAAUAUUGGUCAAUGGUCGGGAGACUGAACCAGCCAAGCCGCGUGAGGGAUGAAGGUACAGAGUAUCGUAAACCUCUUUUGUCAGGGAACAAAGGCGGGGACGUGUCCCCGGAUGAGUGUACCUGAAGAAGAAGCCCCGGCUAACUACGUGCCAGCAGCCGCGGUAAUACGUAGGGGGCAAGCGUUAUCCGGCUUUACUGGGUGUAAAGGGGGCGCAGACGGC
This 246-nucleotide ribosomal RNA is filed under the name uncultured bacterium. RNAcentral describes it as "partial 16S ribosomal RNA". It matches the Rfam family "Bacterial small subunit ribosomal RNA", at positions 335 to 579 of the family's 1533-position model. The record is from RNAcentral.